Molecule: small RNA, 572 nt
Filed under: bovine gut metagenome
Source: RNAcentral
UUUAUCGGAUGGCGCAGUAUCCUAGUUAACCGAAUCCCGCCGAACAUGUGCCUAAAAACGCAUGAAAAGGCAAAUCGAUGAAGCUCCUUGUGUCUGCUUCUUACGCCCAGUCUGGGGUGGAUGCUGGGAGAAAUGGUUUUUUGGGACGCCCGUAACGGCAUACGGGACCGGACCCAACUGACCGGGAGGCUUUCUUCUGUGAGGCCGGAAAUGACCGGGCACCUGACAGAUUAAAGAUUAAACCCAUCACGCGGUGCGUAAUUCGACGCUGUGGAUGGCGUAGCCUGCCUUGAGUGGCUUCAGCGGAUGGCAACGCUCGCGGAAACCUGAAAUUGCAGCUGCAAAAAAGGAUUAGGCGGGGACGUAGGUUAUUGAGGAAAUCUCCUAGGCUGAGAAAUACAGGUGCGGAGCGGAUUGCAGUGCGGACUGUCAAGGCAAUCAAGCCCCGGGAACAGCGAUGCCCCGGCGGAGAAUUUAAAGGGGAACCGCUUUCUGGCAACGGAAAGUAUUCUUCGGGGAAAUCCUGCUUGACCGUAAGCCGCAAAGUUUACGCCCCGCACCGCCAUCACCUU